RNAcentral lists this ribosomal RNA (608 nucleotides) under uncultured bacterium. RNAcentral describes it as "bacterial SSU rRNA". It matches the Rfam family "Bacterial small subunit ribosomal RNA", at positions 201 to 827 of the family's 1533-position model. The record is from RNAcentral.
CCAAAGAUUUAUUGCGCAGAGAGGGGCUCGCGUCUGAUUAGAUAGUUGGUGAGGUAACGGCCCACCAAGUCGACGAUCGGUAGCCGGACUGAGAGGUUGAACGGCCACAUUGGAACUGAGAAACGGUCCAGACUCCUACGGGAGGCAGCAGUGGGGAAUAUUGGGCAAUGGGCGAAAGCCUGACCCAGCGGCGCCGCGUGAAGGAAGACGGUCUUCGGAUUGUAAACUUCUUUUAUAUGGGACGAACACAUGACGGUACCAUAUGAAUAAGCCACGGCUAACUACGUGCCAGCAGCCGCGGUAAUACGUAGGUGGCGAGCGUUAUCCGGAUUUACUGGGUGUAAAGGGUGUGUAGGCGGGACUGCAAGUCGGAUGUGAAAAUCACAGGCUUAACCUGUGACCUGCAUUCGAAACUGUGGUUCUUGAGGGUCGGAGAGGUAACUGGAAUUCCUGGUGUAGCGGUGAAAUGCGUAGAUAUCAGGAGGAACACCGGUGGCGAAGGCGGGUUACUGGACGAUUACUGACGCUGAGACACGAAAGCGUGGGGAGCAAACAGGAUUAGAUACCCUGGUAGUCCACGCUGUAAACGAUAAAUGCUAGGUGUGGGG